UAGUGGUAGCUGGCAUACUUUGGCACUGGUAGGGUGGAAGGCCUGGAGACCAACAGUAGGAGGAGCCAGGGCUACAGAGAGAGAGAACCAACUAAUUCUAGUUUUGUCCCUAUCUUCUCCCUGCUGAGGUCUGCAACAGCAAUUUUAAGGAGUAGGAGGAAGCUGACAACUAUGGCCACCUUCUGGAUUAGUUGCAAGAAAAAUGGCGCUCAUCUUUCUGCAGUUUGCAAAAUGAAGAUGGGGGGGGGGACCCAGGACUCACCACUAGAACAAGAAGAAAUAUGUGAUGUUAACAGUUCACUGAGCUGUGAUAUGAACAAGCUGGGUGUUGAAAAAGAAAUCUGAGCUUAAGAGUACAUUUCCAGUGUUAAUAAAGAUUCCUUCUUUUGUUGUAUAUUUCCAAACA
Molecule: long non-coding RNA, 406 nt
Organism: Podarcis raffonei (Aeolian wall lizard)
Lineage: Eukaryota; Metazoa; Chordata; Lepidosauria; Squamata; Lacertidae
Exons: 2
Source: RefSeq, a predicted model, not a curated record